UACGUAGGGAGCGAGCGUUGUCCGGAAUUACUGGGUGUAAAGGGAGCGUAGGCGGGGAUGCAAGUUGGGUGUCAAAACUACCGGCUCAACUGGUAGUCGCACUCAAAACUGCAGCCCUUGAGUGAAGUAGAGGCAGGCGGAAUUCCUAGUGUAGCGGUGAAAUGCGUAGAUAUUAGGAGGAACACCAGUGGCGAAGGCGGCCUGCUGGGCUUUUACUGACGCUGAGGCUCGAAAGUGUGGGGAUCGAACAGG
Molecule: ribosomal RNA, 252 nt
Filed under: uncultured bacterium
Lineage: Bacteria
Description: partial 16S ribosomal RNA
Rfam family: Bacterial small subunit ribosomal RNA
Source: RNAcentral